GCCAGGCACCGUGGCUCACGCCUGUGAUCCCAGAGACUCAGGAGGCUGAGGCAGGAGGAUCGCAAGUUCAAGGCCAGCCUGGACAACGUAGUGAGAUCCUGUCUCAA
Molecule: small RNA, 107 nt
Filed under: Marmota monax (woodchuck)
Lineage: Eukaryota; Metazoa; Chordata; Mammalia; Rodentia; Sciuridae
Source: RNAcentral